UAAGAGAUCCUGAAGUCAUGACUUCUUACAGGGAGCUCUCAAAAAAGGCGCAAAAGGCCAACAAUAUAUGGUGGCGUUUAAGCGGUUUGCUUGGGGAUCAGAAUCGCAUGUUCAUGUAUAUUCUGUUGCAAGCUAUAUUUACCGUGGCAACUAUGGGGCUGACUGUCCCUAUCUUUAUGUCCUAUGAACUGCAUGCGGUUUUCCAAAUACUCAAGGUUUCUGCAGCUGUAUGGAAUGGAGGAAGCUUUCUGCUAGAUGUAAUGCCAAGACAGGUGAUUCUCAAAGAGAAGAAGAAAUCAGAGAUG
RNAcentral lists this unclassified non-coding RNA (305 nucleotides) under Hevea brasiliensis (rubber tree). Lineage: Eukaryota; Viridiplantae; Streptophyta; Magnoliopsida; Malpighiales; Euphorbiaceae. The record is from RNAcentral.